AAGGGAGACCUAAUUCAGGUAUGGGACGAAAAAAAAGUAGUCGCUACCAAGAAUCAAUCCCAAAAGGUCGGAGCGAGGUAUGAGGCUUUCAAACUAGGUUCUGGGUUCAAACAAGACCUGAAUCAGGAACAAGGGCUAUUAGCUCAGGUGGUUAGAGCGCACCCCUGAUAAGGGUGAGGUCCCUGGUUCGAGUCCAGGAUGGCCCACCUGCACAGGUGGCAAAAACAAGAGAAGCGAGGAAUCAGCACCUUAUCUUAUCUAUAUAUAUAUAGGAGAGAAUGCUGGCUCUGAGUAAAGAGUCCAGAGGAACCUCGAAAACUGCAUAGAGCUAGGUGAAAAAGCCAAAAAAGAAGACCGCAA
This 360-nucleotide transfer RNA is filed under the name uncultured Microcystis sp. Its description in RNAcentral is "partial 16S-23S ribosomal RNA intergenic spacer". The stretch from base 133 to 206 matches the Rfam family "tRNA". Lineage: Bacteria; Bacillati; Cyanobacteriota; Cyanophyceae; Chroococcales; Microcystaceae. The record is from RNAcentral.